GUUUUUAAGACAACAUUUAGGGUUUUUCCCGGGUUUGGUACCAAGUCUGGAUAAACUCCUUUCGGUUCUUAAACCGGAGGAAAUUCUCUUUCUGGCUUUCCGCUUCCCGCGGGAUGCGAACAUGUUUAAAUUGCCCCUAAAGAAGAUCAAAGAUAUGAUUAAAGAAGUAAUGGCUAAAGAGGAGGAAAACAGAUACAAGCCUCCGGUGGAAGGUUGUGAAGACCUAAGUAUGACGGAGGAGGAAAGGAAAAAAUUGCUGGAAGCAUUUUCUUUCCUAUGGGAUAAAAAACAAUGAAUUGGAACUAUUGAGUGGUGUAGGUAUCCAUCUUAGCAAAUAGAGAUACCGAGGCCCACCAA
Molecule: long non-coding RNA, 357 nt
Organism: Triticum aestivum (bread wheat)
Lineage: Eukaryota; Viridiplantae; Streptophyta; Magnoliopsida; Poales; Poaceae
Exons: 2
Source: RefSeq, a predicted model, not a curated record